AAAGUCGUAACAAGGUUUCCGUAGGUGAACCUGCGGAAGGAUCAUUAAAAAACAUAGAAUUUCGUAUUCUUAAACCCCUGCAGUGUACUUGUUCUUGUUGCUUCCGUGGGUAGUAGGCCUUGUGCUUGCGGCCGCCUUCAUGGUGGGCUCGCGGGAGGUGAUCAUAAACUCCGUCUAUGUAUGGUAUCUGUCCGAGCUUGUUUAGUUCAUAAACGUUAAAACUUUCAACAACGGAUCUCUUGGUUCUC
RNAcentral lists this unclassified non-coding RNA (248 nucleotides) under Ascomycota sp. RNAcentral describes it as "partial contains small subunit ribosomal RNA, internal transcribed spacer 1, and 5.8S ribosomal RNA". The stretch from base 1 to 47 matches the Rfam family "Eukaryotic small subunit ribosomal RNA", at positions 1785 to 1831 of the family's 1831-position model. The record is from RNAcentral. Lineage: Eukaryota; Fungi; Ascomycota.